GGUUCAGAAUGAACGCUGGCGGCGUGCCUAACACAUGCAAGUCGGAUGUGCCGCAAGGUGCAUGGCAGACGGGUGAGUAACGCGUGGAAACCUACCUCUUGUGGGGAAUAACGCUCCGAAAGGAGUGGUAAUACCGCAUGAGACCACGGACUGGGAUGUCCAUGGUGAAACCUGGGGACCGCAAGGCCUGGGGCAAGGAGAGGGUUCUGCGUCUGAUUAGCUGGUUGGUGGGGUAACGGCCUACCAAGGCGACGAUCAGUAGCCGGCCUGAGAGGGUGAUCGGCCACAUUGGAACUGAGACACGGUCCAAACUCCUACGGGAGGCAGCAGUGGGGAAUUUUGCGCAAUGGGCGAAAGCCUGACGCAGCAACGCCGCGUGGGUGAUGAAGGUCUUCGGAUCGUAAAACCCUGUCGUCAGGGACGAAGGUCACCGGUUGAACAUUCCGGCGACUUGACGGUACCUGGAGAGGAAGCCCCGGCUAACUCUGUGCCAGCCGCCGC
This 501-nucleotide ribosomal RNA is filed under the name uncultured bacterium. RNAcentral's name for it is "bacterial SSU rRNA". It matches the Rfam family "Bacterial small subunit ribosomal RNA", at positions 21 to 518 of the family's 1533-position model. The record is from RNAcentral.